Molecule: long non-coding RNA, 126 nt
Organism: Oncorhynchus masou masou (cherry salmon)
Lineage: Eukaryota; Metazoa; Chordata; Actinopteri; Salmoniformes; Salmonidae
Exons: 3
Source: RefSeq, a predicted model, not a curated record
GUUUACCAGGCCUUGAAGGGCCCGUGGGGACUGCUGGAAUUCCAGGUCUGAACGGGGCUCCAGGUGGCACAGGCUUCAGAGGACUAGAUGGAGACAAAGGAGAUGCUGGACCCAAAGGAGACAGGG